RNAcentral lists this transfer RNA (75 nucleotides) under Candidatus Kaelpia aquatica. RNAcentral describes it as "tRNA-Pro". It matches the Rfam family "tRNA". From Rfam's summary of the family: Transfer RNA (tRNA) molecules are approximately 80 nucleotides in length. Their secondary structure includes four short double-helical elements and three loops (D, anti-codon, and T loops). Lineage: Bacteria; Pseudomonadati; Candidatus Omnitrophota. The record is from RNAcentral.
CGGGGCGUAGCGCAGCAUGGCUAGCGCGCCUGAAUGGGGUUCAGGAGGUCGGCGGUUCGAGUCCGCCCGCCCCGA